CACUGAACUUUUUAUCACCACCGAUACAAUUUCUUGAGCAUAUUUAGCGCUUCUUCUCAAAUGGGUGAAAUAAUUAUAACAUUACUGUAAUAAUAUUGAAAAUGCAAUCACAGCACUCGCUUACUAUUACUCAAAUAAACCCAUUCUGUGUAAAUAGGUAAAAAAAUAAUCAUUUGUAAAUAGAUAAAUUGGAGAUAUAAGAUUAGUCCUUGUAAAAUAAAUCUGG
Molecule: non-coding RNA, 226 nt
Organism: Pelobates cultripes (western spadefoot toad)
Lineage: Eukaryota; Metazoa; Chordata; Amphibia; Anura; Pelobatidae
Source: the annotation of a GenBank genome assembly